AACCUAUGCUGGCGGCACGCCUAACACAUGCAAGUCGAACGAAGUAGCAAUACUUAGUGGCAGACGGGUGAGUAACAUGUAGGUAUCUGCCCUUUGGCCUGGAAUAACACGAGGAAACUUGUGCUAAUACCGGAUAAGUCUUUACGGAGAAAGCUUUAUGCACCAUUGGAUGAGCCUGCACUUGAUUAGUUUGUUGGUGGGGUAAUGGCCUACCAAGACUGUGAUCAAUAGCUGAUUUGGGAGGAUGAUCAGCCACAUUGGGACUGAGACACGGCCCAAACUCCUACGGGAGGCAGCAGUGGGGAAUCUUGCACAAUGGAGGAAACUCUGAUGCAGCGAUGCCGCGUGAGUGAAGAAGGCCCUUGGGUUGUAAAGCUCUUUCGUCGGGGAAGAAAAUGACUGUACCCGAAUAAGAAGGUCCGGCUAACUUCGUGCCAGCAGCCGCGGUAAUACGAAGGGACCUAGCGUAGUUCGGAAUUACUGGGCUUAAAGAGUUCGUAGGUGGUUGAAAAAGUUAGUGGUGAAAUCCCAGAGCUUAACUCUGGAACUGCCAUUAAAACUUUUCAGCUAGAGUAUGAUAGAGGAAAGCAGAAUUUCUAGUGUAGAGGUGAAAUUCGUAGAUAUUAGAAAGAAUACCAAUUGCGAAGGCAGCUUUCUGGAUCAUUACUGACACUGAGGAACGAAAGCAUGGGUAGCGAAGAGGAUUAGAUACCCUCGUAGUCCAUGCCGUAAACGAUGUGUGUUAGACGUUGGAAAUUUAUUUUCAGUGUCGCAGGGAAACCGAUAAACACACCGCCUGGGGAGUACGACCGCAAGGUUAAAACUCAAAUGAAUUGACGGGGACCCGCACAAGUAGUGGAGCAUGUGGUUUAAUUCGAAGAUACGCGCAGAACCUUACCAACACUUGACAUGUUCGUCGCGACUCUAAGAGAUUAGAGUUUUCGGUUCGGCCGGACGAAACACAGGUGCUGCAUGGCUGUCGUCAGCUCGUGUCGUGAGAUGUUGGGUUAAGUCCCGCAACGAGCGCAACCCUCACUUUUAGUUGCCAUCAUUAAGUUGGGCACUCUGAAAGAACUGCCAGUGAUAAGCUGGAGGAAGGUGGGGAUGACGUCAAGUCCUCAUGGCCCUUACGUGUUGGGCUACACACGUGCUACAAUGGUAUCUACAACAGGAAGCAAGACUGCGAAGUUAAGCAAAUCCCUAAAAGAUACCUCAGUUCGGAUUGCACUCUGCAACUCGAGUGCAUGAAGCUGGAAUUACUAGUAAUCGUGGAUCAGCGUGCCACGGUGAAUGCGUUCCCGGGUCU
RNAcentral lists this ribosomal RNA (1306 nucleotides) under uncultured bacterium. Its description in RNAcentral is "bacterial SSU rRNA". It matches the Rfam family "Bacterial small subunit ribosomal RNA", at positions 28 to 1381 of the family's 1533-position model. The record is from RNAcentral.